GGAGAGGUGCAGGAGUGGUUGAACUGGACUGCCUGCUAAGCAGUUAUGGCGUUAGCCAUCGUGGGUUCGAAUCCCACCCUCUCCG
This 85-nucleotide transfer RNA is filed under the name Candidatus Poribacteria bacterium. RNAcentral's name for it is "tRNA-Ser". It matches the Rfam family "tRNA". Rfam says of the family: Transfer RNA (tRNA) molecules are approximately 80 nucleotides in length. Lineage: Bacteria; Candidatus Poribacteria. The record is from RNAcentral.